GCUGGGCAUGGUGGCGCAUGCCUGUAAUCCCAGCAGCUUGGGAGGCUGAGGCAGGAGGAUGGCGAGUUCAAAGCCAGCCUCAGCAAAAGUUAGGCGCUAAGCAACUCAAUGAGACCCUGUCUCUA
This 125-nucleotide small RNA is filed under the name Marmota monax (woodchuck). Lineage: Eukaryota; Metazoa; Chordata; Mammalia; Rodentia; Sciuridae. The record is from RNAcentral.